GCGGGCGUAGCUCAGCUGGUAGAGCGCUGGAUUGUGAUUCCAGUGGUCGAGGGUUCAAAUCCCUUCGCUCGCCCCA
This 76-nucleotide transfer RNA is filed under the name bacterium. RNAcentral describes it as "tRNA-His". It matches the Rfam family "tRNA". From Rfam's summary of the family: Transfer RNA (tRNA) molecules are approximately 80 nucleotides in length. Their secondary structure includes four short double-helical elements and three loops (D, anti-codon, and T loops). Further hydrogen bonds mediate the characteristic L-shaped molecular structure. tRNAs have two regions of fundamental functional importance: the anti-codon, which is responsible for specific mRNA codon recognition, and the 3' end, to which the tRNAs corresponding amino acid is attached (by aminoacyl-tRNA synthetases). tRNAs cope with the degeneracy of the genetic code in two manners: having more than one tRNA (with a specific anti-codon) for a particular amino acid; and 'wobble' base-pairing, i.e. permitting non-standard base-pairing at the 3rd anti-codon position. RNAcentral also lists the same sequence under 3 other names. The record is from RNAcentral.